CAGCCGCCGCGGUAAUACGGAGGGUGCAAGCGUUACUCGGAAUCACUGGGCGUAAAGCGCGCGCAGGCGGCCUUGUAAGUUGGAUGUGAAAGCCUACGGCUCAACCGUAGAACUGCAUCCAAAACUACUCGGCUAGAGUGUGGGAGGGGAAGAUGGAAUUAGUUGUGUAGGGGUAAAAUCCGUAGAGAUAACUAGGAAUACCAAAAGCGAAGGCAAUCUUCUGGAACACUACUGACGCUGAGGCGCGAAAGCGUGGGGAGCAAACAGGAUUAGAUACCCUGGUAGUCCACGCCCUAAACUAUGAAUGUUAGUCGUCGGGAGGCUCGUCCUUUCGGUGAUGCAGCUAACGCAUUAAACAUUCCGCCUGGGGAGUACGGUCGCAAGAUUAAAACUCAAAGGAAUAGACGGGGACCCGCACAAGUGGUGGAGCAUGUGGUUUAAUUCGAAGAUACGCGAAGAACCUUACCUAGCCUUGACAUUGAUAGAAUCCGGUAGAGAUACUGGAGUGCCCUUCGGGGAGCUUGAAAACAGGUGCUGCACGGCUGUCGUCAGCUCGUGUCGUGAGAUGUUGGGUUAAGUCCCGCAACGAGCGCAACCCUCGUCACUAGUUACUAACGGUUCGGCCGAGGACUCUAGUGAGACUGCCUUCGUAAGGAGGAGGAAGGUGAGGACGACGUCAAGUCAUCAUGGCCCUUACGGCUAGGGCAACACACGUGCUACAAUGGCCAGGACAGUGAGACGCAAUACCGCGAGGUGGAGCAAAUCUAUAAACCUGGUCUCAGUUCGGAUUGUAGUCUGCAACUCGACUACAUGAAGCUGGAAUCACUAGUAAUCGUAGAUCAGCUAUGCUACGGUGAAUACGUUCCCGGGUCUUGUACUCACCGCCCGUCACACCAUGGGAGUUGAUUUCACCCGAAGCGGGGAAGCUAAACUGGCUACCCUCCACGGUGGGAUCAGCGACUGGGGUGAAGUCGUAACAAGGUACCCGUA
Molecule: ribosomal RNA, 990 nt
Filed under: uncultured Campylobacterota bacterium
Lineage: Bacteria; Pseudomonadati; Campylobacterota
Description: bacterial SSU rRNA
Rfam family: Bacterial small subunit ribosomal RNA
Source: RNAcentral